Long non-coding RNA from Oncorhynchus keta (chum salmon), 2035 nucleotides. RefSeq lists it as uncharacterized. Lineage: Eukaryota; Metazoa; Chordata; Actinopteri; Salmoniformes; Salmonidae. The transcript is spliced from 3 exons. The record is from RefSeq and is a predicted model, not a curated record.
AGGGUCUGUCUCAGCAGAGGGAGAGAGCAGCAGACUGAGGGUCAGUCUCAGCAGAGGGAGAGAGCAGCAGACUGAGGGUCAGUCUCAGCAGAGGGAGAGCAGCAGACUGGGGGUCAGUCUCAGCAGAGGGAGAGAGCAGCAGACUGAGGGUCCGUCUCAGCAGAGGGAGAGAGCAGCAGACUGAGGGUCCGUCUCAGCAGAGGGAGAGAGCAGCAGACUGAGGGCCAGUCUCAGAGGAGGGAGAGAGCAGCAGACUGAGGGCCCAUCUCUCAACGUCCCUCAUCUCUCCCUUUCCUCCACUGACUCUGACCAAAAAGGGACACCGUCUUCCAGCUGAUGGUGAAACUCGAGUCGCACCGCAUUAUGUCAGCCUCAUGCACAAAUUCAUGUUGUUACUCCUACGAACAGAGAAAAUGAAAUAUUCCUUGAUUUAAAAAAAGACCCAAGCCGCUAAUAAUAACAACAACACAAGCCUAUAGAGACACUGGUUCAUUACUGCUGCAGUGCUUGUUGUAGCGUGAGUGGAAGUAGGGUGAACACACAUUCUAUAGAUCAGCCAGGCCCCUAUAGAUCAGCCAGGCCCCUAUAGAUCAGCCAGGCCCCUAUAGAUCAGCCAGGCCCCUAUAGAUCAGCCAGGCCCCUAUAGAUCAGCCAGGCCCCUAUAGAUCAGCCAGGCCCCUAUAGAUCAGCCAGGCCCCUAUAGAUCAGCCAGGCUGUUGUAGCGUGAGUGGAAGUAGGGUGAACACAUUUUAUGGCUUAUAAAAGAGUUGACUACAAAGUGUUGACAGUUCUGAAUAAGAACUAAAACAUGAAGUCACUCAUAAAAACAGAAUCUCUUUGUUGUAUUGGUUGACAGUCUCGCUCUAGUCGUGGGUUUAAAACGUUUAACAUCUCACAGUAUCCACUGUAGCUUUCAUUUACACCUGCUAAUAUAUGUUACUGAACGGUAAGCUGAGCCAUCUGAUUGGCCAGCGGUAGGCCUAUAGUGCACUUGAUUUGCUCUCUGGGUCCACCGGGAAGGAAGAGUUUGAACCUGCAGACACAUGAAAUGGUUCAAAAUGACAGCCGUUGAUCUACCCGGCGGUGCAGGACAGCUGAAUCAGGUGCACCUCCUGCCAACAGCUUGCCUACCCGGCGGUGCAGGACAGCUGAAUCAGGUGCACCUCCUGCCAACAGCUUGCCUACCCAGCGGUGCAGGACAGCUGAAUCAGGUGCACCUCCUGCCAACAGCUUGCCUACCCGGCGGUGCAGGACAGCUGAAUCAGGUGCACCUCCUGCCAACAGCUUGCCUACCCGGCGGUGCAGGACAGCUGAAUCAGGUGCACCUCCUGCCAACAGCUUGCCUACCCGGCGGUGCAGGACAGCUGAAUCAGGUGCACCUCCUGCCAACAGCUAGCCUACCCGGCGGUGCAGGACAGCUGAAUCAGGUGCACCUCCUGCCAACAGCUAGCCUACCCGGCGGUGCAGGACAGCUGAAUCAGGUGCACCUCCUGCCAACAGCUUGCCUACCCGGCGGUGCAGGACAGCUGAAUCAGGUGCACCUCCUGCCAACAGCUAGCCUACCCGGCGGUGCAGGACAGCUGAAUCAGGUGCACCUCCUGCCAACAGCUCGCCUACCCGGCGGUGCAGGACAGCUGAAUCAGGUGCACCUCCUGUCAACAACCUGAGAUGAGUGAAUAACAAAAUAGGAACACAAGGUUUUAUCGUUGCGUUUUUUUACACAAAUGUUUGGUGAUCGACUAGGGGAUGCCUUGGUGAUGGACCGGUUGGUGACCACUGCUCUAGAAGUAAAGUUAAAUCGUGUGCUUCUCUCUGUAGGCUGAUAUCACGGCUGCGUGGAAGUCUUGGGGCUACUGCGAAUGAGCACAGUUUAGAGGGAACAACUGUAUCAGGACAUCAAAUCAGCAUUGUAAUCGUGGUGGGGAGGAGAGAACGCUUUGUAAUAUAGGCCUUAAAUUACAUCCUCGUUUAAAAAGACCAGCUACUGCUGCUCCACACUGCCCAGCUACUGGAAACAGUGCCACACUGGCCAGCU